GGGAGCAAUCCUGGUGGCGAGUGGCGAACGGGUGAGUAAUACAUCGGAACGUGUCCUGUAGUGGGGGAUAGCCCGGCGAAAGCCGGAUUAAUACCGCAUACGCUCUACGGAGGAAAGGGGGGGAUCUUAGGACCUCUCGCUACAGGGGCGGCCGAUGGCAGAUUAGCUAGUUGGUGGGGUAAAGGCCUACCAAGGCGACGAUCUGUAGCUGGUCUGAGAGGACGACCAGCCACACUGGGACUGAGACACGGCCCAGACUCCUACGGGAGGCAGCAGUGGGGAAUUUUGGACAAUGGGCGCAAGCCUGAUCCAGCAAUGCCGCGUGUGUGAAGAAGGCCUUCGGGUUGUAAAGCACUUUUGUCCGGAAAGAAAACUUCCUGGUUAAUACCCGGGGAGGAUGACGGUACCGGAAGAAUAAGCACCGGCUAACUACGUGCCAGCAGCCGCGGUAAUACGUAGGGUGCAAGCGUUAAUCGGAAUUACUGGGCGUAAAGCGUGCGCAGGCGGUCCGCUAAGACAGAUGUGAAAUCCCCGGGCUUAACCUGGGAACUGCAUUUGUGACUGGCGGGCUAGAGUAUGGCAGAGGGGGGUAGAAUUCCACGUGUAGCAGUGA
This 613-nucleotide ribosomal RNA is filed under the name uncultured Burkholderia sp. Its description in RNAcentral is "bacterial SSU rRNA". It matches the Rfam family "Bacterial small subunit ribosomal RNA", at positions 75 to 684 of the family's 1533-position model. Lineage: Bacteria; Pseudomonadati; Pseudomonadota; Betaproteobacteria; Burkholderiales; Burkholderiaceae. The record is from RNAcentral.